CAACGAUUAGAAGUUUUCUCUGCGCGCAAAUCCACUACUCUUAGUGAUAGAAUCGGUUUGUGCUAUAUCGUCAAGAAUCAUUUAACUUCUUCUGACGAGGUCAAUGGAAAAUCGGUAUUGCUUAUGAUGUUAUCGUGUGUGAGUGAGAAUGGUUGAAUGAUGUGUUGCUGAGUUGAUGGAGCAAAAGGAAGCCUAUUGUUGAGUUUUACAAGUGGUAGGGUUGAAAGGGAAAACUUGGAACGAGGCACCGCUUUACAACUCACAUCAAAGGCUUGAUAUUUGAUUGAAAACUUGGGAGAAUCGUUGGUUUGAGUGUAACUGUUAGGGAAAAUUGUGGAGUUUGAGAAUUUUAGAUAUUCAAUCAAGCUAACAUGAUUACUGCAUUUGGUUGACAAAGUCAGUGCA
Long non-coding RNA from Vicia villosa (hairy vetch), 405 nucleotides. RefSeq lists it as uncharacterized. The record is from RefSeq and is a predicted model, not a curated record. Lineage: Eukaryota; Viridiplantae; Streptophyta; Magnoliopsida; Fabales; Fabaceae. The transcript is spliced from 3 exons.